Molecule: long non-coding RNA, 259 nt
Organism: Rana temporaria (common frog)
Lineage: Eukaryota; Metazoa; Chordata; Amphibia; Anura; Ranidae
Exons: 3
Source: RefSeq, a predicted model, not a curated record
GAAUGAGAGAUAUUGAACUCACCCUGGAGAUCCUCAGCCUGCUGACUGGAGAGAACUGUACAGUAAUAAUGAAGAAAUCUACUGAGAAUGAGACAAGAAGGAGAAGAUCCCCGAGAAUCCAGAAUCCCAUCACCAUCCCCCCACCUCCAUCCCCGAUCCCUACAAGACUCAACACACAGAAGAUUCUAGAAGUCACCAAGAAGAUGAUGGAGCUGCUGACAGGAGAGUAGAUGGACGGGAGAUGAGGAAAACCUCAGAG